RNAcentral lists this ribosomal RNA (443 nucleotides) under uncultured bacterium. Its description in RNAcentral is "partial 16S ribosomal RNA". It matches the Rfam family "Bacterial small subunit ribosomal RNA", at positions 338 to 795 of the family's 1533-position model. The record is from RNAcentral.
CCUACGGGUGGCAGCAGUGGGGAAUAUUGGACAAUGGGGGGAACCCUGAUCCAGCGACGCCGCGUGAGUGAAGAAGUAUUUCGGUAUGUAAAGCUCUAUCAGCAGGGAAGAAAGAAAUGACGGUACCUGACUAAGAAGCCCCGGCUAACUACGUGCCAGCAGCCGCGGUAAUACGUAGGGGGCAAGCGUUAUCCGGAUUUACUGGGUGUAAGGGGAGCGUAGACGGCGAUGCAAGUCUGAAGUGAAAGGCGGGGGACCAACCCCCGGACUGCGUUGGAAACUGUAUGGCUGGAGUGCAGGGGAGGUAAGUAGAAUUCCUGGUGUAGCGGUGAAAUGCGUAGAUAUUAGGAGGAACACCAGUGGCGAAGGCGACUUUCUGGACAGUAACUGACGUUGAGGCACGAAAGUGUGGGGAGCAAACAGGAUUAGAUACCCCUGUAGUC